AGAGUUUGAUCCUGGCUCAGGACGAACGCUGGCGGCGUGCUUAACACAUGCAAGUCGAACGAUGAAGCCCUUCGGGGUGGAUUAGUGGCGAACGGGUGGAGUAACACGUGGGCAAUCUGCCCUGCACUCUGGGACAAGCCCCUGGAAACGGGGUCUAAUACCGGAUACGACCGCUGACCGCAUGGUUGGUGGUGGAAAGCUCCGGCGGUGCAGGAUGAGCCCGCGGCCUAUCAGCUUGUUGGUGGGGUGAUGGCCUACCAAGGCGACGACGGGGUAGCCGGCCUGAGAGGGCGACCGGCCACACUGGGACUGAGACACGGCCCAGACUCCUACGGGAGGCAGCAGUGGGGAAUAUUGCACAAUGGGCGAAAGCCUGAUGCAGCGACGCCGCGUGAGGGAUGACGGCCUUCGGGUUGUAAACCUCUUUCAGCAGGGAAGAAGCGAAAGUGACGGUACCUGCAGAAGAAGCGCCGGCUAACUACGUGCCAGCAGCCGCGGUAAUACGUAGGGGCGCAAGCGUUGUCCGGAAUUAUUGGGCGUAAAGAGCUCGUAGGCGGCUUGUUGCGUCGGAUGUGAAAGCCCGGGGCUUAACCCCGGGUCUGCAUUCGAUACGGGCAGGCUAGAGUUCGGUAGGGGGAGAUCGGAAUUCCUGGUGUAGCGGUGAAAUGCGCAGAUAUCAGGAGGAACACCGGUGGCGAAGGCGGAUCUCUGGGCCGGAUACUGACGCUGAGGAGCGAAAGCGUGGGGAGCGAACAGGAUUAGAUACCCUGGUAGUCCACGCCGUACUCCCAGGCGGGGAACUUAAUGCGUUAGCUGCGGCACGGACGACGUGGAAUGUCGCCCACACCUAAGUUCCCAACGUUUACGGCGUGGACUACCAGGGUAUCUAAUCCUGUUCGCUCCCCACGCUUUCGCUCCUCAGCGUCCAGUAUCGGCCCAGAGAUCCGCCUUCGCCACCGGUGUUCCUCCUGAUAUCUGCGCAUUUCACCGCUACACCAGGAAUUCCGAUCUCCCCUACCGAACUCUAGCCUGCCCGUAUCGAAUGCAGGACCCGGGGUUAAGCCCCGGGCUUUCACAUCCGACGCAACAAGCCGCCUACGAGCUCUUUACGCCCAAUAAUUC
Molecule: ribosomal RNA, 1122 nt
Filed under: Streptomyces cinnamoneus
Lineage: Bacteria; Bacillati; Actinomycetota; Actinomycetes; Kitasatosporales; Streptomycetaceae
Description: bacterial SSU rRNA
Rfam family: Bacterial small subunit ribosomal RNA (bases 2-789)
Source: RNAcentral